RNAcentral lists this ribosomal RNA (254 nucleotides) under uncultured bacterium. RNAcentral's name for it is "partial 16S ribosomal RNA". It matches the Rfam family "Bacterial small subunit ribosomal RNA", at positions 524 to 776 of the family's 1533-position model. The record is from RNAcentral.
UACGUAGGGCGCAAGCGUUUGUCCGGAAUUAUUGGGCGUAAAGAGCUCGUAGGCGGUUUGUCGCGUCUGCUGUGAAAACCUAAGGCUCAACCUUGGGCUUGCAGUGGGUACGGGCAGACUAGAGUGCGGUAGGGGUGACUGGAAUUCCUGGUGUAGCGGUGGAAUGCGCAGAUAUCAGGAGGAACACCGAUGGCGAAGGCAGGUCACUGGGCCGCAACUGACGCUGAGGAGCGAAAGCAUGGGGAGCGAACAGG